This 517-nucleotide ribosomal RNA is filed under the name Anophryoides haemophila. RNAcentral's name for it is "partial Bacterial large subunit ribosomal RNA". It matches the Rfam family "Bacterial large subunit ribosomal RNA", at positions 366 to 880 of the family's 2925-position model. Lineage: Eukaryota; Ciliophora; Oligohymenophorea; Philasterida; Glauconematidae. The record is from RNAcentral.
GAGAGCCCCGUACACGAAAACGCCGCACCUCCCGAGUUGUAUCCCAAGUAGCACCGAGCCCGUGAAAUUCGGUGUGAAUCUGGCGGGACCACCCGCUAAGCCUAAAUACUCCUUGGUGACCGAUAGCGGACAAGUACCGUGAGGGAAAGGUGAAAAGUACCCCGGGAGGGGAGUGAAAUAGUUCCUGAAACCAUGUGCUUACAAUCCGUCAGAGCAUGUGUUUAUGUGUGAUGGCCUGCCUUUUGCAGAAUGAGCCUGCGAGUCAGCGGCAUGUCGCGAGGUUAACCCGUGUGGGGUAGCCGUAGGGAAACCGAAUCCUAAUGAGGGUGUUUGUAGUGGCAUGUUCUGGACCCGAAGCGGGGUGAUCUACCCAUGGCCAGUGUGAAGCGAUGGUAAGACGUCGUGGAGGCGCGAACCCACGUAGGUUAAAAACUGCGGGGAUGAGUUGUGGGUAGGGGUGAAAGGCUAAUCAAACUGGGAAAUAGCUCGUACUCCCCGAAAUGUUUUUAGGAACAGC